UGUACAGGAUAGGUGGGAGGCUUUGAAACCAGGACGCCAGUUUUGGCGGAGCCAUCCUUGGGAUACCACCCUUGUAGUACUGGGACUCUAACCAUAGGCCAUGAAUCUGGUCUUGGGACACUGGCAGGUGGGCAGUUUGACUGGGGCGGUCGCCUCCCAAAAGGUAACGGAGGCGCUCAAAGGUUCUCUCAGUACGGUCGGAAA
RNAcentral lists this ribosomal RNA (204 nucleotides) under Clostridioides difficile. Its description in RNAcentral is "partial 23S ribosomal RNA". It matches the Rfam family "Bacterial large subunit ribosomal RNA", at positions 2135 to 2337 of the family's 2925-position model. The record is from RNAcentral. Lineage: Bacteria; Bacillati; Bacillota; Clostridia; Peptostreptococcales; Peptostreptococcaceae.